Molecule: ribosomal RNA, 253 nt
Filed under: uncultured bacterium
Lineage: Bacteria
Description: partial 16S ribosomal RNA
Rfam family: Bacterial small subunit ribosomal RNA
Source: RNAcentral
UACGGAGGGCGCAAGCGUUGUUCGGAAUUACUGGGCGUAAAGCGCGUGUAGGCGGCCAGGUAAGUCGGAUGUGAAAGCCCGGGGCCCAACCCCGGAACUGCACCCGAUACUGCUUGGCUGGAGUCCCGGAGAGGAUGGCGGAAUUUCCGGUGUAGAGGUGAAAUUCGUAGAUAUCGGAAGGAACACCAGUGGCGAAGGCGGCCAUCUGGACGGUGACUGACGCUGAGACGCGAAAGCGUGGGGAGCAAACAGG